Long non-coding RNA from Nematostella vectensis (starlet sea anemone), 638 nucleotides. RefSeq lists it as uncharacterized. The transcript has 2 exons. Lineage: Eukaryota; Metazoa; Cnidaria; Anthozoa; Actiniaria; Edwardsiidae. The record is from RefSeq and is a predicted model, not a curated record.
UAUAUUAGCCACAUUCUUCUUAUACGAUUUUACGGUAAUCCAAUCGAAUGCCUAAUAUUGGUAGGUGCCGCCUUUAGCGCCCGUUAAAACCGCUAAUGAGCAAUUAGUGGUCAAAAUAUUUCCUGUUUGUUCCGUACAAGAAACUGACACAGCUGCAAGCCCAACCCGUGUACUCUGCAUUCCUAGCAUAUGACGUAUGUGACAGAAUGGUAUAUGUGAUGGAAUGACAUAGAAGUUGUUAUAACCAAACAACUAAUAAAGAAUCAAGCAGGACGGAUAUAAAGCUGAAUAUAGAGAAUCAAACAAACAAGUAGACUUUUAAUUCAGCCCCGCCCCCUCUUUAAGGUUUUAUCACACGUAGUGCGUAAACGAAAGACUAAGCUUAAACGCUGUGUCCGCAUGACGGGCAGACGGGUACCUGUAUAGAGAUUGUAAAUGCAUGUAAGAGCUGGCAGACGGCAGCUGAUGGGUCACGCUGCGGUGCCUGACAUGCAGCUGGUCCUUUGUGUUGAACAUGUACACAAGUGGACGGCUCCUCUAGAAAUCAGCCAGACGUUUAUUCCAAAAGGAAGGCCGUUAAUAUUAUAAUCUAACGCGCAACGGUAUGGACAUAACAGUAGUAAAGGCGAGACCCUAUU